UAUAAAUUAUAAGGCUAGCCUUCUGUGUUU
RNAcentral lists this transfer RNA (30 nucleotides) under Berryteuthis magister. RNAcentral's name for it is "partial tRNA-Ile". Lineage: Eukaryota; Metazoa; Mollusca; Cephalopoda; Oegopsida; Gonatidae. The record is from RNAcentral.